CCUACGGUGGGCAGCAGUGCGGAAUAUUGGUCAAUGGGCGCGAGCCUGAACCAGCCAAGUAGCGUGAAGGAUGACUGCCCUACGGGUUGUAAACUUCUUUUAUAAAGGAAUAAAGUGAGUCACGUGUGCCUUUUUGUAUGUACUUUAUGAAUAAGGAUCGGCUAACUCCGUGCCAGCAGCCUCGGUAAUCCGGAGGAUCCGAGCGUUAUCAGGAUUUCUUGGGUUUAAAGGGAGCGUAGAUGGGUUGUUAAGUCAGUUGUGAAAGUUUGCGGCUCAACCGUAAAAUUGCAAUUGAUACUGGCAGUCUUGAGUACAGUUGAGGUAGGCGGAAUUCGUGGUGUAGCGGUGAAAUGCUUAGAUAUCACGAAGAACUCCGAUUGCGAAGGCAGCUUACUAAACUGCCACUGACAUUGAUGCUCGAAAGUGUGGGUAUCAAACAGGAUUAGAUACCCUUGUAGUC
RNAcentral lists this ribosomal RNA (460 nucleotides) under uncultured bacterium. Its description in RNAcentral is "partial 16S ribosomal RNA". It matches the Rfam family "Bacterial small subunit ribosomal RNA", at positions 338 to 795 of the family's 1533-position model. The record is from RNAcentral.